GCGGUGGUGUUGGUUUCAGACUCAUGAUUUCCAGUCAUGAGAGCCCGGGUUCAAAUCCCGGCCUAGGCU
RNAcentral lists this transfer RNA (69 nucleotides) under Natrinema sp. 1APR25-10V2. Its description in RNAcentral is "tRNA-Gly". It matches the Rfam family "tRNA". Rfam says of the family: Transfer RNA (tRNA) molecules are approximately 80 nucleotides in length. The record is from RNAcentral. Lineage: Archaea; Methanobacteriati; Methanobacteriota; Halobacteria; Halobacteriales; Natrialbaceae.